RNAcentral lists this ribosomal RNA (503 nucleotides) under uncultured Glomeromycotina. Its description in RNAcentral is "SSU rRNA". It matches the Rfam family "Eukaryotic small subunit ribosomal RNA", at positions 591 to 1092 of the family's 1831-position model. The record is from RNAcentral. Lineage: Eukaryota; Fungi; Glomeromycota.
CCAAUAGCGUAUAUUAAAGUUGUUGCAGUUAAAAAGCUCGUAGUUGAAUUUCGGGGUUAGUAGGUUGGUCAUGCCUCUGGUAUGUACUGGUCUCACUGAUUCCUCCUUCCUGAUGAGCCGUAAUGCCAUUAAUUUGGUGUUGCGGGGAAUUUGGACUGUUACUUUGAAAAAAUUAGAGUGUUUAAAGCAGGCAUUUUUGCUUGAAUACAUUAGCAUGGAAUAAUAAAAUAGGACGGCAUGGUUCUAUUUUGUUGGUUUCUAGGACCACCGUAAUGAUUAAUAGGGAUAGUUGGGGGCAUUAGUAUUCAAUUGUCAGAGGUGAAAUUCUUGGAUUUAUUGAAGACUAACUACUGCGAAAGCAUUUGCCAAGGAUGUUUUCAUUAAUCAAGAACGAAAGUUAGGGGAUCGAAGACGAUCAGAUACCGUCGUAGUCUUAACCAUAAACUAUGCCGACUAGGAAUCAGACGAUGUUAAUUUUUUAAUGACUCGUUUGGCACCUUACG